RNAcentral lists this ribosomal RNA (491 nucleotides) under uncultured bacterium. RNAcentral describes it as "partial 16S ribosomal RNA". It matches the Rfam family "Bacterial small subunit ribosomal RNA", at positions 29 to 507 of the family's 1533-position model. The record is from RNAcentral.
GUGAACGCUGGCGGUAGGCCUAACACCUGCAAGUCGAACGGCAGCACAGUAAGAGCUUGCUCUUACGGGUGGCGAGUGGCGGACGGGUGAGGAAUACAUCGGAAUCUACUUUUUCGUGGGGGAUAAUGUAGGGAAACUUACGCUAAUACCGCAUACGACCUACGGGUGAAAGCAGGGGAUCUUCGGACCUUGCGCGAUUGAAUGAGCCGAUGUCGGAUUAGCUAGUUGGCGGGGUAAAGGCCCACCAAGGCGACGAUCCGUAGCUGGUCUGAGAGGAUGAUCAGCCACACUGGAACUGAGACACGGUCCAGACUCCUACGGGAGGCGGCAGUGGGGAAUAUUGGACAAUGGGCGCAAGCCUGAUCCAGCCAUACCGCGUGGGUGAAGAAGGCCUUCGGGUUGUAAAGCCCUUUUGUUGGGAAAGAAAAGCAGCAGGUUAAUACCCCGCUGUUCUGACGGUACCCAAAGAAUAAGCACCGGCUAACUUCGUG